This 23-nucleotide small nuclear RNA is filed under the name Arabidopsis thaliana (thale cress). RNAcentral's name for it is "snRNA_10950". The record is from RNAcentral. Lineage: Eukaryota; Viridiplantae; Streptophyta; Magnoliopsida; Brassicales; Brassicaceae.
UUUUCCGCGGCCGUUCCAAAUCU